This 332-nucleotide long non-coding RNA is filed under the name Elaeis guineensis (African oil palm). Its description in RNAcentral is "long non-coding RNA (EGUI_LNC034206)". Lineage: Eukaryota; Viridiplantae; Streptophyta; Magnoliopsida; Arecales; Arecaceae. The record is from RNAcentral.
CUUCUGACUUUGUAUGGCAUCUUUCCGAACUCCCUCGACCGUCCGAGCUUUCAUAAUACCAUCCGGACUUCUCCAAUAAUGAGCUCCCCCAUUCAUCUACCAGACUGCUCCAAAUGCUCUCUGGGCUUAACUAUCAGCUGAUUUUCUAUAGUGAUCGACUAUUCUCCGAAUCUCUUUCGGACUUCUACAGUAACUAGACUCCAUCCAAGUUUCUACGACGGUCGACCGCCUUCUGGAUUUCAUCUGAGCUCCUACGAGAGCCGGAUCUCUACUCCGAACUUCUAUUGCAAGCGAACUUCAUCUGAGCUCCUACAAAAGUCGGAUUCCAUCCG